CGCGUAGGCGGGACUGCAAGUCAGAUGUGAAAUCUGGGGGCUUAACCCUCAAACUGCAUUUGAAACUGUAGUUCUUGAGUAUCGGAGAGGCAGGCGGAAUUCCAAGUGUAGCGGUGAAAUGCGUAGAUAUUUGGAGGAACACCAGUGGCGAAGGCGGCCUGCUGGACGACAACUGACGCUGAGGCGCGAAAGCGUGGGGAGCAAACAGGAUUAGAUACCCUGGUAGUCCACGCUGUAAACGAUGAAUACUAGGUGUGGGGGGACUAACCCCCUCCGUGCCGCAGUUAACACAAUAAGUAUUCCACCUGGGGAGUACGGCCGCAAGGUUGAA
RNAcentral lists this ribosomal RNA (331 nucleotides) under uncultured bacterium. Its description in RNAcentral is "bacterial SSU rRNA". It matches the Rfam family "Bacterial small subunit ribosomal RNA", at positions 568 to 898 of the family's 1533-position model. The record is from RNAcentral.